RNAcentral lists this ribosomal RNA (518 nucleotides) under uncultured bacterium. Its description in RNAcentral is "partial 16S ribosomal RNA". It matches the Rfam family "Bacterial small subunit ribosomal RNA", at positions 28 to 523 of the family's 1533-position model. The record is from RNAcentral.
GACGAACGCUGGCGGCGUGCUUAACACAUGCAAGUCGAACGGAGGAUUUAUUUCGGUAAAUCCUUAGUGGCGAACGGGUGAGUAACGCGUGGGCAAUCUGCCCUUCAGAUGGGGACAACAUCCCGAAAGGGGUGCUAAUACCGAAUACGAUCACGCUGCCGCAUGGCGGUGUGAUGAAAGAUGGCCUCUAUUUAUAAGCUAUCGCUGAAGGAUGAGCCUGCGUCUGAUUAGCUAGUUGGUGGGGUAACGGCCUACCAAGGCGAUGAUCAGGAGCCGGUCUGAGAGGAUGAACGGCCACAUUGGGACUGAGACACGGCCCAAACUCCUACGGGAGGCAGCAGUGGGGAAUAUUCCGCAAUGGACGAAAGUCUGACGGAGCAACGCCGCAUGGGUGAUGAAGGUUUUCGGACUGUAAAGCUCUGUUGUUUAGGACGAAAGUGCCUGUUGCGAACAGUUACAGGUAUUGACGGUACUGAACGAGGAAGCCACGGCUAACUACGUGCCAGCAGCCGCCGUAA